RNAcentral lists this ribosomal RNA (497 nucleotides) under uncultured bacterium. Its description in RNAcentral is "partial 16S ribosomal RNA". It matches the Rfam family "Bacterial small subunit ribosomal RNA", at positions 28 to 507 of the family's 1533-position model. The record is from RNAcentral.
GAUGAACGCUGGCGGCGUGCCUAAUACAUGCAAGUCGAGCGAACGGACGAGAAGCUUGCUUCUCUGAUGUUAGCGGCGGACGGGUGAGUAACACGUGGAUAACCUACCUAUAAGACUGGGAUAACUUCGGGAAACCGGAGCUAAUACCGGAUACUAUUUUGAACCGCAUGGUUCAAACGUGAAAGACGGUCUUGCUGUCACUUAUAGAUGGAUCCGCGCUGCAUUAGCUAGUUGGUAAGGUAACGGCUUACCAAGGCAACGAUGCAUAGCCGACCUGAGAGGGUGAUCGGCCACACUGGAACUGAGACACGGUCCAGACUCCUACGGGAGGCAGCAGUAGGGAAUCUUCCGCAAUGGGCGAAAGCCUGACGGAGCAACGCCGCGUGAGUGAUGAAGGUCUUCGGAUCGUAAAACUCUGUUAUUAGGGAAGAACAUAUGUGUAAGUAACUGUGCACAUCUUGACGGUACCUAAUCAGAAAGCCACGGCUAACUACGUG